Chelonia mydas (Green sea turtle) is the source of this 1154-nucleotide long non-coding RNA. RefSeq lists it as uncharacterized. The record is from RefSeq and is a predicted model, not a curated record. Lineage: Eukaryota; Metazoa; Chordata; Testudines; Cheloniidae. The transcript has 2 exons.
UAGCAAUUUUGGCUUAUCUGGAAAGGCGACUAGAAUUCACUAUUUGAAAGGGGUCUCAUUUUCUGCAGUCUUCUCUCUCUGCCUUCUCCCCAUCACUAUCUCAUUGGUCCCAUGAAGGUCCUUGUGGACAACCUGGAAUUGUGAAGUAUGGAUAUCUACAUGAAAGAGACAAAUGGUCACCCACUGACCUACAGUAUCUAAUUUAUGAGACUAUAGGAUGCAGACAGAACAUGAGCCCCAAUUGAUGCCAUAUGAACUAUGGAUGAUUUGGGAAAUUAUUCCAGAGGGUGAGGAAGAGAAGAGGUUGCACAAUCCCAGCAGUAAGAGUAAAAGGAUUUAAUGAGUUUGUGAUGAGGGGUGUAUCCCACACAGGCACUAAAAGGGUUAUGUUGUGCCUGAGAGGCCAAUUACACUACCUAGCUGCACCUUUGGGGUGGGCCAGGUUUAAUUGAAGCCCAGCAGGGGAAGGAGUUGGAUAGUGACAAGAGAAUGCUGCAGCCCCUCUCUUCACACUAGGGAAUGGAGAGACUGGCAGGGUCAAGGAGGGAGCCUAGAGCGAGUUGGCCAUGGGAACCUCUCCUGAGAAGAGAAGUCUGGCAAAAGGCCAGAAGAGAAAGCAAGCAGCUAGCAGGGUGGAACAUGCUCCAUUGGGGAGCCCUGACAAAAAGGCAGACUAUGGACUUCCAAGGAGAGAGCCUGAAGAGGUCUUCAACUGAAGAACAGAGUGGGUUGAAAGGUCAAGCCUGAAGAGGAUAGAAAUUGCUUUGUCUAUAUUUUUGGAUUUGGAAUUUUGUUUAGGGAUUCCAGGGGGAGCCCUGAGAACCCUGUUUCUGAAAGAAGGGUGAAUGGAGAGAUGGUCUGAGAGAAGACUAAAUAGGAAGAAGUCAAAAGGAUGCAGCAGCAGAGACGAGACUUUGGCUGCUGGUUACAGUGUUGCUGGAUUGGAAUCCAUUUUAGUGAGUGGGCCAUGGUUCCCCUACUAGCCACUAGGGAAGGAGAGACCUCUGAGAAGGGCAUAAAGAUGACUGAGAGAAGCGUGAGAGACUGAAAACCUUCUAUUACCUUGGAAAGAGCAGAAUGAAAGUGUGACCUGGCCAGAGGGAUGAGUCACAAGAAGGGGUGUACCAUCAUGAGAACUGGCAGGAGAUGCAAGA